Molecule: long non-coding RNA, 1883 nt
Organism: Saccostrea cuccullata (small rock oyster)
Lineage: Eukaryota; Metazoa; Mollusca; Bivalvia; Ostreida; Ostreidae
Exons: 6
Source: RefSeq, a predicted model, not a curated record
UCAAAACUGUGGAAUAUAACUUAGUUUUUUCUCUAUCGACUACUACUGUAGUACAAUAUUACAUCGGGAUCGAAGUCGGGCUCGAAAAGCAAUUAAUUUAAAAACAACACACCGCGCCGAAAUUCAAUUUUUUGGAGGGUUCCACGUAGCCAUGUUGAACUUGAUCAUGAUGUUGUACGGGAGGAAGGGGCGAAAGAGAGUGACGCGAAAAGGAGAAGCAUGAUUAACUUUGGAUGGAAUUUAUGUUUUAACAGAACAUGAAGACAUUUACAUGUACGACCCUGUUUAGCGGUAGGAACAAUGUACAAAAUUUUAUCACGUGUCCUUGAAUGAAUAAUCGCCUCUGCUACUGAUAAUGUUACUGUUCCUUAGUCUGGGCUCUACACAUAAAAUGCCUGGCAGUAAAAACGUUUGGGCAAGCGCUAUUUAAAUUUUGUAAUAAUUAUUUAACACUUUUAAUCAUCUCUCUUAAAGAUGGAUUUUAACCAGAAUUUUCUCGUUUGGGAUUGGUUUCAGAAUUUUAGUCACUAAAGUGUUCCUCUGUUCAGCAUUUACAGAGUGUGUUGUACAAUGUAAUAAAAUAUUUAUUUAUUUCUUAAUGCAUACUCAAGAAUAUAUUCAGCACUCAUUUUGAUUAUUUAAAUAGUUGCAGUGUGGACUGUGCCUGAGACGAUUCCCCACAGCGCCGGCUAUGUAGACAGCUUGUGAAAAUGGUGAGAACCAUGCAGCUAAAAUUUUCAAUUAAUACAAAUAAACUAACAAUGUUUUUAUUAACUUGUACAUUUUAGCAUAGCGAAGACUAUGAAAAAUAUUGCAACAACUUGAAAUGCUAUAUACCACGUAAACAAGAUGAGGAAUCCAAAUGCUCACAAGAAAUGACAAAAGCAGCAUGAAGAUUAACACAAAGAAAUUGUGCCAGAAAAGUUUGAAGUAGCUAUGAGAAUGAUCAACAUUGAACUUGCUGAGCCUUCCUUCUGAAAGUAACUUGACCAGAUAUUUGGCUACCUAGUAUGAGUAUCUUUCUGCUACAUUAAAUAAAAUAUCGUGGAGGAACACGAAGAAAAGGGCUGCACAUCUCAGCAUAUUCAAGGUCAAGCAGCUUUUUACCAUAUCCUUAGUAUCUUGCUGCUAAAUGAAAGAAUUAUUGUGGAGGAGCAGAGAAAAGGGCACCUCAACAUGUUCAAGGUCAAGCAGAAAUUAGGAGCUAGAUGUGCUUCUCCAGAGCUGAAAACUUCUUGGCAUGAAGAGAAGAAAAAGCAAGAAGAAGCAGUUUUAAAUAUUGAUUACGUCUUCAUAGUACAAAGAAUGAUUCUAAAGAUAAUACUAUCUAUGAAAUUAGAAAACUGAAGUUGCGUUCUGAUGAAUGUGAGAAAUAAAGUCUUCAAAGAACAGGACACCAAAAGUGCCACUCUCAAAUCAAAGCACUCUAAAAGGCAGAGCAUAAGAAGAACUAAGACAAAUAAAGAAUCUAAAAGAGUCAAAUCUAUGGAUUUAGUAAUUGAACAGAGAUGGGCUAUUAGAGAUGAAAUAUCUGAGUUGCUACCGUUUUGCACAAAUGUGAUGCUUUUUUUUACUUAUCUUUAAUCGACACAUUCAAUGUUAGAUAAGAAAAAUAUACCUAGUGUUGUAUUUUUGACAGUGAAAGUUUUUUCUGAUACUUGAUUACAGAUUAAAACUGUUAAGUUUUUUAUUGUUUAAACAUUUAUUGGUUUGUUGUGUAAACUGCAAUCACAUACAUUUUAAUCUUGAUUUAUAUAUUACAUAUAUGUACAAGUCUAACUUAAAUAAUAAGUGCAUUGAUAUUAUUGUGGGAAAAAAUAAGACAAUCAAGGGUAGUCUGAAAGAGCUUUGCUGGCAGUAAGUUGCAGAUCUUGAUACCCAAG